GAUGAACGCUGGCGGCGUGCCUAAUACAUGCAAGUCGAACGAGGUGCUUGAGUAGCAAUACGAGAGUAUCCUAGUGGCGAACGGGUGAGUAACGCGUUGGUGACCUACCCCAAAGUGUGGGAUAACAGUCCGAAAGGAUUGCUAAUACCGCAUGUGGUCUUCGGGUUUAGAAACCGAUGACGAAAGCAGCAAUGCGCUUUGGGAGGGGACCUGCGUCCCAUCAGCAGUUGGUGAGGUAACGGCUCACCAAGGCGACGAC
RNAcentral lists this ribosomal RNA (259 nucleotides) under uncultured bacterium. Its description in RNAcentral is "partial 16S ribosomal RNA". It matches the Rfam family "Bacterial small subunit ribosomal RNA", at positions 28 to 280 of the family's 1533-position model. The record is from RNAcentral.